Molecule: ribosomal RNA, 253 nt
Filed under: uncultured bacterium
Lineage: Bacteria
Description: partial 16S ribosomal RNA
Rfam family: Bacterial small subunit ribosomal RNA
Source: RNAcentral
UACGUAGGGUGCAAGCGUUGUCCGGAAUUAUUGGGCGUAAAGAGCUCGUAGGCGGUUUGUUGCGUCGGCUGUGAAAUCCCGAGGCUCAACCUCGGGUCUGCAGUCGAUACGAGCAAACUAGAGUGUUGCAGGGGAGACUGGAAUUCCUGGUGUAGCGGUGAAAUGCGCAGAUAUCAGGAGGAACACCGGUGGCGAAGGCGGGUCACUGGACCGGUAUUGACGCUGAGGUGCGAAAGCGUGGGGAGCAAACAGG